This 90-nucleotide transfer RNA is filed under the name Caudoviricetes sp. RNAcentral's name for it is "tRNA-Ser". It matches the Rfam family "tRNA". Rfam says of the family: Transfer RNA (tRNA) molecules are approximately 80 nucleotides in length. Their secondary structure includes four short double-helical elements and three loops (D, anti-codon, and T loops). Further hydrogen bonds mediate the characteristic L-shaped molecular structure. tRNAs have two regions of fundamental functional importance: the anti-codon, which is responsible for specific mRNA codon recognition, and the 3' end, to which the tRNAs corresponding amino acid is attached (by aminoacyl-tRNA synthetases). tRNAs cope with the degeneracy of the genetic code in two manners: having more than one tRNA (with a specific anti-codon) for a particular amino acid; and 'wobble' base-pairing, i.e. permitting non-standard base-pairing at the 3rd anti-codon position. The record is from RNAcentral. Lineage: Duplodnaviria; Heunggongvirae; Uroviricota; Caudoviricetes.
GGAGGGUUGUCAGAGUGGUUUAUUGAGCCUCUUUGCUAAAGAGGUGUUGUUUAAUAGCAACCACAGGUUCGAAUCCUGUACUCUCCUCCA